Molecule: non-coding RNA, 688 nt
Organism: Macaca mulatta (Rhesus monkey)
Lineage: Eukaryota; Metazoa; Chordata; Mammalia; Primates; Cercopithecidae
Source: RefSeq, a predicted model, not a curated record
CACACCCCCACAGAGUUCCUCUCUAUUCCGCAAAUCCUGGCACGUUAUUUUGUGGGGUUAGGGGUGACAUUUCUUGGCCCAGGGCAUUUCUUGACUCAGCUGUCCUGCAAAGAUGACAUGGCCCAGCACCUAGCUGGCACACAACAGGAAACCCUUGCACUCUGGCGGGUGAAGAGAGGAGCUGUGAAUAAUGCUGGGACCACAGAGGUUAACAGGGGCUGUCCCAGCCUCACCUUCUCAACCUGGCCCUGAGGACUUCAGAGGCAGCUAGAGGAGCCUCCACGUCGGCCAUCCACAGGCAAUGGAGACUUAGGAAGCAGCACCCCACACCCCUGUCCAGCCAACUGCUCCAAGAGGUCUUUCCAAGCCUAUGGGGCCCCAGACUCCCAGCAUCUCAGCCCAGACCCUCACCUGCUCCACCCCACCCCACCCCGUCUGCAUCCACGGGCCAGUGGGGAACCAUUCAGUGAGAUCCUCCCUGCCCUACGGCCUUGGCCCUGACCCCAGCUUGGCCUCUUUGUCUUUGAGCCAGGCCAGCCAGUUCAGCGUUAAAGCUGCUGGAGCAUCUAAGGAGACAUAAAGAAAGUUUAGAGACUUUUAAUUUGCCAGCACGGCUCUCCGCCGGCCAGCAGGUUGAGCGUUUGUGGAGAAGGGCAGCCGCAAUAAAGGCUUAUUGUUCCUCUCUGAA